GACGAACGCUGGCGGCGUGCUUAACACAUGCCAGUCGAACGGAAAGGCCCUGCUUUUGCUGUGUGGUCGAGUGGCGAACGGGUGUGUAACACGCGAGUAACCUGCCCCUUACUUUGGGAUAACUUCACGAAACUGGGGCUAAUACCGGAUAGGAUCUCUUGCUGCAUAGGGUGGAAUGGCAAAUUUCGGCGGUUGGGGAUCGGCUCGCGGCUUAUCAGCUGUUUGGUCGGGUUGUGGCGUACCAAGGCUUUGACGGGUAGCCGGCCUGGGAGGGUGACCGGGCACCUUGGGACUGAGAUACGGACCAGUCUCCAACGGGACGCAGCGGUGGAGAGUAUUACACAAUAAGCGGGAGCGUGAUGCAGCGACGCCGCGUGCGGGAAACCGGGCUUCGGGUUGAGAACCGAUUUCGCCUGUGAUGAGGCGUUAGUGACGGUACUGGAUGAAGAAGCCCCGGCUAACUACGUG
This 468-nucleotide ribosomal RNA is filed under the name uncultured bacterium. RNAcentral describes it as "partial 16S ribosomal RNA". It matches the Rfam family "Bacterial small subunit ribosomal RNA", at positions 28 to 507 of the family's 1533-position model. The record is from RNAcentral.